This 392-nucleotide long non-coding RNA is filed under the name Ananas comosus (pineapple). RNAcentral's name for it is "long non-coding RNA (ACOM_LNC036843)". Lineage: Eukaryota; Viridiplantae; Streptophyta; Magnoliopsida; Poales; Bromeliaceae. The record is from RNAcentral.
GAGAGUGUGAGGGAGAGAGAGGGCUCAGCCCACUCAAAUAAAUGCCAUUUUGCACAAAAGCCCCUCAACUUUUACCCCUGUGCACUGCCCUUACUGGGCAGUUUUCGCGCGGAGGGACCGGUCUCCCCGACUUGGGACCGGUCCCCGAGAGCUUCCCUCGGGCGCACGCGUUCGGGAACCGGUCUCUCCCCGGGAGACCGGUCCUCGGGAGACCGGUCCUCACCUGAGAGACCGGUCCCCGAGAGCUUGAUUUUCAGGACUUAGCCAAUUUUGGCAUCUCACGCUGGGGCCACGUUCGGGAACCGGUCCCUCACCACCAGGGACCGGUUGCAUCGCGCAACCCCGCAACACCCAGCCGAGGGAACCGGUCUCUCACCUGCAGAGACCGGUCC